This 450-nucleotide ribosomal RNA is filed under the name uncultured Lachnospiraceae bacterium. Its description in RNAcentral is "partial 16S ribosomal RNA". It matches the Rfam family "Bacterial small subunit ribosomal RNA", at positions 341 to 792 of the family's 1533-position model. The record is from RNAcentral. Lineage: Bacteria; Bacillati; Bacillota; Clostridia; Lachnospirales; Lachnospiraceae.
ACGGAAGGCAGCAGUGGGGAAUAUUGCACAAUGGGGGAAACCCUGAUGCAGCGACGCCGCGUGAGUGAAGAAGUAUUUCGGUAUGUAAAGCUCUAUCAGCAGGGAAGAAAUAAGACACUUGUGUCUCAGACGGUACCUGACUAAGAAGCCCCGGCUAACUACGUGCCAGCAGCCGCGGUAAUACGUAGGGGGCAAGCGUUAUCCGGAUUUACUGGGUGUAAAGGGAGCGUAGACGGUCGAGCAAGUCUGAUGUGAAAGCUCGGGGCCCAACCCCGGAACUGCAUUGGAAACUGUUUGACUAGAGUGCAGGAGAGGUAAGUGGAAUUCCUAGUGUAGCGGUGAAAUGCGUAGAUAUUAGGAGGAACACCAGUGGCGAAGGCGGCUUACUGGACUGUAACUGACGUUGAGGCUCGAAAGCGUGGGGAGCAAACAGGAUUAGAUACCCUGGUA